Molecule: transfer RNA, 89 nt
Filed under: Cronartium quercuum f. sp. fusiforme G11
Lineage: Eukaryota; Fungi; Basidiomycota; Pucciniomycetes; Pucciniales; Coleosporiaceae
Description: tRNA-Arg
Rfam family: tRNA
About the family: Transfer RNA (tRNA) molecules are approximately 80 nucleotides in length. Their secondary structure includes four short double-helical elements and three loops (D, anti-codon, and T loops). Further hydrogen bonds mediate the characteristic L-shaped molecular structure. tRNAs have two regions of fundamental functional importance: the anti-codon, which is responsible for specific mRNA codon recognition, and the 3' end, to which the tRNAs corresponding amino acid is attached (by aminoacyl-tRNA synthetases). tRNAs cope with the degeneracy of the genetic code in two manners: having more than one tRNA (with a specific anti-codon) for a particular amino acid; and 'wobble' base-pairing, i.e. permitting non-standard base-pairing at the 3rd anti-codon position.
Source: RNAcentral
GACUGGAUAGCCUAGUGGUCAAAGGCAGCACUUCUAGUACAGUGUCUCAGUUUAUGAUGAGGUCCCAGGUAUGAAUCCUGGUCUAGUCA